GGAGGUAUAGCUCAGUGGUAGAGUGCAUGCCUAGCAUGCAUGAGGUCCUGGGUUCAAUCCCUGGUACCUCCA
This 72-nucleotide transfer RNA is filed under the name Camelus bactrianus (Bactrian camel). It matches the Rfam family "tRNA". From Rfam's summary of the family: Transfer RNA (tRNA) molecules are approximately 80 nucleotides in length. Their secondary structure includes four short double-helical elements and three loops (D, anti-codon, and T loops). Further hydrogen bonds mediate the characteristic L-shaped molecular structure. tRNAs have two regions of fundamental functional importance: the anti-codon, which is responsible for specific mRNA codon recognition, and the 3' end, to which the tRNAs corresponding amino acid is attached (by aminoacyl-tRNA synthetases). tRNAs cope with the degeneracy of the genetic code in two manners: having more than one tRNA (with a specific anti-codon) for a particular amino acid; and 'wobble' base-pairing, i.e. permitting non-standard base-pairing at the 3rd anti-codon position. Lineage: Eukaryota; Metazoa; Chordata; Mammalia; Artiodactyla; Camelidae. The record is from Rfam by way of RNAcentral. RNAcentral also lists the same sequence under 2 other names.